This 435-nucleotide ribosomal RNA is filed under the name Triticum aestivum (bread wheat). RNAcentral's name for it is "partial small subunit ribosomal RNA". Lineage: Eukaryota; Viridiplantae; Streptophyta; Magnoliopsida; Poales; Poaceae. The record is from RNAcentral.
UACGACAUCAACGGGUAUCGCUUUCGUACCUAUGGCAAAGAGCUAUCUAUGGCCGACCGAAAGUCUACAAAUUGUUGUGUAUCUGCUAUCGGCGAAGGAGGUGCCGAGUAUUAUGGGAGAGUUGAAGCAAUUUAUGAACUUAUAUUCUAUGGUGACAACCCACCGAAUGUCGUACUCUUCAAAUGUUAUUGGUUUCAGCCGAAGGAGACUAGAAGGACUCAGGAACAUAUAGGGCUAGUUGAAAUCAAACAAAGCACCCAUUUAGAUGUUCCUGAUGUCUAUAUUACGGCUCAACAGGCGACCCAAGUAUUCUAUCUACCGUGGGCCUGCCAAACUAAUCCAAAUCUGAAAGGUUGGGAUGUCGUCUAUGAAGUGCCGCCACGUGCUAGACUAUCUCCCCCAAAGGAAGAGGAUUAUGAACCUCACAUUAACCCA